RNAcentral lists this long non-coding RNA (743 nucleotides) under Rattus norvegicus (Norway rat). Its description in RNAcentral is "long non-coding RNA NONRATT018315". The record is from RNAcentral. Lineage: Eukaryota; Metazoa; Chordata; Mammalia; Rodentia; Muridae.
GGCUUUAUUGUUUAUUGUCAGUGUCCUGCUGAACCACACUGGCUUGGCCUGUGCAGUUGACGAGAAGCAGCGUGUCCAGACCCCUCUCCUUGCCUGUGGUCUUCUGUUGAGUGUACAUCGAGUUGUGCUUCUUUCAAGGAUGUCCUUUAUCAGGUGGAGGAAGCUCACUUCUCUUCCUGUUCCUCGGCUGCUGGUGCCAUUAACUGGACAGCAUGCUCUGAGGGGCACGCAUGUGGUGUGGUGCAGUGUGGCCAGCACAUGGAGGGAUGUGGCCAGCACAUGGAGGGAUGUGGCCAGCACAUGGAGGGAUGUGGCCAGCACAUGGAGGGAUGUGGCCAGUACAUGGAGGGAUGUGGCCAGCACAUGGGGGGAUGUGACCAGCACAUGGGGGGAUGUGACCAGCACAUGGUCGUGGUGGCUAUUUGUUUCCCUUAGCUGCCAACCUUCAAGUUCCUGAGGAAAACACUAAUUUUCACAGGUGUCACCAGCGUGUGAUUUUUCUUUCCACAGGUCUCACGCAGAAUAAUAAUUAAAGAUUCACUGCUUUCUUUGCUCUUCUACAGAGUUACUGUGAUCCAGCGUCUUACAAUGACCGUGUUCAGGGUUUGCCCGGAGAAUGUUUGGUUGUUGUCAUAAAAAUGAACUUUUCAAUAUUACAGGCUUUAUGUUCCUAAGAGUAAUAUACACCAUGAAACAAUGCUUUUGCCAGGUGUGGUGGCAGGCACAGGUAGGCAGAUCUCUGU